RNAcentral lists this ribosomal RNA (468 nucleotides) under uncultured bacterium. RNAcentral describes it as "partial 16S ribosomal RNA". It matches the Rfam family "Bacterial small subunit ribosomal RNA", at positions 28 to 507 of the family's 1533-position model. The record is from RNAcentral.
GACGAACGCUGGCGGCGUGCUUAACACAUGCAAGUCGAACGGAAAGGCCCUGCUUUUGUGGGGUGCUCGAGUGGCGAACGGGUGAGUAACACGUGAGUAACCUGCCCUUGACUUUGGGAUAACUUCAGGAAACUGGGGCUAAUACCGGAUAGGAGCUCCUGCUGCAUGGUGGGGGUUGGAAAGUUUCGGCGGUUGGGGAUGGACUCGCGGCUUAUCAGCUUGUUGGUGGGGUAGUGGCUUACCAAGGCUUUGACGGGUAGCCGGCCUGAGAGGGUGACCGGCCACAUUGGGACUGGGAUACGGGCCAGACCCCUACGGGAGGCAGGAGGGGGGAAUAUUGCACAAUGGGCGGAAGCCUGAUGCAGCAACGCCGCGUGGGGGAUGACGGCCUUCGGGUUGGAAACCGCUUUCGGCUGUGACGGAGCGUGAGUGACGGUAAUUGGUAAAGAAGGACCGGCUAACUACGUG